This 434-nucleotide ribosomal RNA is filed under the name uncultured Lachnospiraceae bacterium. RNAcentral's name for it is "partial 16S ribosomal RNA". It matches the Rfam family "Bacterial small subunit ribosomal RNA", at positions 341 to 792 of the family's 1533-position model. Lineage: Bacteria; Bacillati; Bacillota; Clostridia; Lachnospirales; Lachnospiraceae. The record is from RNAcentral.
ACGGAAGGCAGCAGUGGGGAAUAUUGCACAAUGGGGGAAACCCUGAUGCAGCGACGCCGCGUGGGUGAAGAAGUAUUUCGGUAUGUAAAGCUCUAUCAGCAGGAAAGAAAAUGACGGUACCUGACUAAGAAGCCCCGGCUAACUACGUGCCAGCAGCCGCGGUAAUACGUAGGGGGCAAGCGUUAUCCGGAUUUACUGGGUGUAAAGGGAGCGUAGACGGCUUUGCAAGUCUGAAGUGAAAGCCCGGGGCUCAACCCCGGAACUGCUUUGGAAACUGUAGAGCUAGAGUGCAGGAGAGGUAAGUGGAAUUCCUAGUGUAGCGGUGAAAUGCGUAGAUAUUAGGAGGAACACCAGUGGCGAAGGCGGCUUACUGGACUGUAACUGACGUUGAGGCUCGAAGGCGUGGGGAGCAAACAGGAUUAGAUACCCUGGUA